GAACGGAACCUGUGCGGCGGAUGAGAUGUGAACCUGGUCAGAUGGGGAACCAAGCAGCCAUAAGCAUUGAAGCCGUGCGCGGCAGAAUUUCUGUUUCUG
This 99-nucleotide signal recognition particle RNA is filed under the name Lentisphaeria bacterium. RNAcentral describes it as "signal recognition particle sRNA small type". It matches the Rfam family "Bacterial small signal recognition particle RNA". Rfam says of the family: The signal recognition particle (SRP) is a universally conserved ribonucleoprotein involved in the co-translational targeting of proteins to membranes. Lineage: Bacteria; Pseudomonadati; Lentisphaerota; Lentisphaeria. The record is from RNAcentral.